Molecule: long non-coding RNA, 666 nt
Organism: Galeopterus variegatus (Sunda flying lemur)
Lineage: Eukaryota; Metazoa; Chordata; Mammalia; Dermoptera; Cynocephalidae
Exons: 2
Source: RefSeq, a predicted model, not a curated record
AGGAAAGUUUUGGACAGAAUAACCCAAACCAAGGUCUGGAUAAUUUAAAGCCUGGGUGAAAUGGGGCAGAAAGAGCCCAGAAUAUACAGGUCUGAAUGUUGGCUGGGGAGAGGUGGAAGACUCGAGGCGCCAGACGGCUGGCCUCCCUCCAAGUGUUUACCACCCUGGUGCCAUGAGGCUGGGCCCGGCAGUCCAUGUGCUCAUUCUGUCCCUCCUUCCCUCCUUCCCCUAUACUUCUCUCCCUCCUCCCCCUGUUUUCUACAGGAUGAAGGAACUCAGACACCUACUGACCCAGAGGCAAGGCAAUGAGACCUAUGAGACAGGAAUCAGACCCAGACCUGGCCGAGGACCCUGUGGGUUUACAAUGGAUGAUCCUUCUGCCUCUGAGAUGAAUGGAAAAUCAAUCUGAGUGUCAUUAAGAGGAGAUUCCCUGAAGAAGACUGCUGGUGACAAUGGAUUUGUCACCCAACUUUCUUUUACUGGGCAAUUGGAAUUUCUUCCACAGGGGAUGAGACCUACUGCUAUUUCACUAUCUGAACUCAGGCCUUUUACUGACUUGCCAAGUUUUUAUUCUGUUGUCUCACUGUCAUUGGCUGAUCUGAUCUCUACACUGACUAAUUAGUUUCAAACCCCUUCAUAUUGACCUAAUAAACUUGGCUUGUUUAA